UGGGGAAUUUUGGACAAUGGGCGAAAGCCUGAUCCAGCAAUGCCGCGUGAGUGAAGAAGGCCUUCGGGUUGUAAAGCUCUUUUAUUCGGAAAGAAACGGCGCAGACUAAUACUCUGCGCUAAUGACGGUACCGGAUGAAUAAGCACCGGCUAACUACGUGCCAGCAGCCGCGGUAAUACGUAGGGUGCAAGCGUUAAUCGGAAUUACUGGGCGUAAAGCGUGCGCAGGCGGUUGGAUAAGCCAGAUGUGAAAGCCCCGGGCUCAACCUGGGAAUUGCAUUUGGAACUGUCCGGCUAGAGUACGUCAGAGGAAGGUGGAAUUCCACGUGUAGCAGUGAAAUGCGUAGAGAUGUGGAGGAACACCGAUGGCGAAGGCAGCCUUCUGGGACUGUACUGACGCU
This 400-nucleotide ribosomal RNA is filed under the name uncultured bacterium. Its description in RNAcentral is "bacterial SSU rRNA". It matches the Rfam family "Bacterial small subunit ribosomal RNA", at positions 355 to 747 of the family's 1533-position model. The record is from RNAcentral.